Molecule: small nuclear RNA, 109 nt
Filed under: Neogale vison (American mink)
Lineage: Eukaryota; Metazoa; Chordata; Mammalia; Carnivora; Mustelidae
Source: RNAcentral
GUGCUCACUCUGGCGGCACAUAUAUUAAAAUUGGAACAACACAGAGAAUAUUAGCCUUGCCCCUGCCAAAAUUUGUGGUGGUAGCUUGAGAGCCUCUUUCUAGAAAAUU